Molecule: ribosomal RNA, 775 nt
Filed under: uncultured Neocallimastigales
Lineage: Eukaryota; Fungi; Neocallimastigomycota; Neocallimastigomycetes; Neocallimastigales
Description: partial large subunit ribosomal RNA
Rfam family: Eukaryotic large subunit ribosomal RNA
Source: RNAcentral
UAUCUCUGUAGAGUCUGCAUAUCAAUAAGCGGAGGAAAAGAAACUAACAAGGAUUCCCCUAGUAACGGCGAGUGAAGCGGGAAGAGCUCAAAUUUGAAAUCUUCAAGGUUUGACCUUGACGAAUUGUAGUUUAAAGAAGUGUUUUCGGUUAGAGGAGUAGUAAAAGUUCUUUGGAAUAGGACAUCAUAGAGGGUGAGAAUCCCGUAUUUGACCAUUCUUUCUAGCUUUGUGAUACACUUUCAAAGAGUCGGAUUGUUUGGGAAUGCAGUCCAAAAUGGGUGGUAAAUUUCAUCUAAAACUAAAUAUUGGCGAGAGACCGAUAGCGAACAAGUACCGUGAGGGAAAGAUGAAAAGAACUUUGAAAAGAGAGUUAAACAGUACGUGAAAUUGUCAAAAGGGAAGCGUUUGACACCAGUGUUGUUUUUUCCGAAAAUCAAUUAAAAAUGGAUUCAUGCUAAGUUGUAUUGACCUUAUCAGCUUGCAAUUUAGUUUUGGGUUUCUUUUUGAUGCACUUUUCGGUUAACAAGUCAACAUCAAUUUCCUUUGCUGUAAAAAGGCAGGAGGAAGGUGGCUUCAAUUUCGGUUGAAGUGUUUAUAGCCUUCUGUCUCUGCAGUCGGGGAGAUUGAGGUCUGCAGCGUAGAUCCUUCGGGGCUAGAUACAUUCGUGCUAAGUUAUAGCCUUUUAUAGACAACUUGUUGACUAUGAUUGGUCUUGUAAUUUACUCGCGAGUGCUAUUUUACCUACGCUUAGGAUGUUGAUCUACAGAGCGAGAGU